GACAGAGGGUGCAAACGUUGUUCGGAAUUACUGGGCGUAAAGCGUGUGUAGGCGGCUUCGUAAGUCGGAUGUGAAAGCCCUGGGCUCAACCCAGGAAGUGCACUCGAUACUGCGGAGCUUGAGUCUCGGAGAGGUUGGUGGAAUUCUCGGUGUAGAGGUGAAAUUCGUAGAUAUCGAGAGGAACACCGGUGGCGAAAGCGGCUCACUGGACCACAACUGACGCUGAUGCGCGAAAGCUAGGGGAGCAAACAGG
Molecule: ribosomal RNA, 253 nt
Filed under: uncultured prokaryote
Description: partial 16S ribosomal RNA
Rfam family: Bacterial small subunit ribosomal RNA
Source: RNAcentral